RNAcentral lists this ribosomal RNA (862 nucleotides) under uncultured Pseudomonas sp. Its description in RNAcentral is "bacterial SSU rRNA". It matches the Rfam family "Bacterial small subunit ribosomal RNA", at positions 43 to 900 of the family's 1533-position model. Lineage: Bacteria; Pseudomonadati; Pseudomonadota; Gammaproteobacteria; Pseudomonadales; Pseudomonadaceae. The record is from RNAcentral.
CAGGCCUAACACAUGCAAGUCGAGCGGUAGAGAGAAGCUUGCUUCUCUUGAGAGCGGCGGACGGGUGAGUAAUACCUAGGAGUCUGCCUGAUAGUGGGGGAUAACGUUCGGAAACGGACGCUAAUACCGCAUACGUCCUACGGGAGAAAGCAGGGGACCUUCGGGCCUUGCGCUAUCAGAUGUGCCUAGGUCGGAUUAGCUAGUUGGUGAGGUAAUGGCUCACCAAGGCUACGAUCCGUAACUGGUCUGAGAGGAUGAUCAGUCACACUGGAACUGAGACACGGUCCAGACUCCUACGGGAGGCAGCAGUGGGGAAUAUUGGACAAUGGGCGAAAGCCUGAUCCAGCCAUGCCGCGUGUGUGAAGAAGGUCUUCGGAUUGUAAAGCACUUUAAGUUGGGAGGAAGGGCAGUUACCUAAUACGUGAUUGUCUUGACGUUACCGACAGAAUAAGCACCGGCUAACUCUGUGCCAGCAGCCGCGGUAAUACAGAGGGUGCAAGCGUUAAUCGGAAUUACUGGGCGUAAAGCGCGCGUAGGUGGUUUGUUGAGUUGAAUGUGAAAUCCCCGGGCUCAACCUGGGAACUGCAUCCAAAACUGGCAAGCUAGAGUAUGGUAGUGGGUAGUGGAAUUUCCUGUGUAGCGGUGAAAUGCGUAGAUAUAGGAAGGAACACCAGUGGCGAAGGCGACUACCUGGACUGAUACUGACACUGAGGUGCGAAAGCGUGGGGAGCAAACAGGAUUAGAUACCCUGGUAGUCCACGCCGUAAACGAUGUCAACUAGCCGUUGGGAGUCUUGAACUCUUAGUGGCGCAGCUAACGCAUUAAGUUGACCGCCUGGGGAGUACGGCCGCAAGGUUAAAAC